RNAcentral lists this long non-coding RNA (434 nucleotides) under Mytilus galloprovincialis (Mediterranean mussel). Lineage: Eukaryota; Metazoa; Mollusca; Bivalvia; Mytilida; Mytilidae. The record is from RNAcentral.
AAUUAUCAAUAUUUUAAAGCAUGUCUAUCGAAUAAUCAUGGUUUCAUAAUUUUGAAGGGAAAAUGUGCACAUUUGUCAGCUUACAGACCUUACAGUUUGUUUAAACUCAUUGGCGGGUCCAGGGGAGGGUUCCGAGGGUUGGAACCCCCCUUCUUUUGGCCGCUCAAUGCAAUUGAAUGUGGACUAUACAGUUGGAACCCCCCCCCUUUUUUUUGUCCUGGGUUGGAAACCUCCCCUUUUUAAAACAUGUAAAAUGGCUGGAUCCGCCACUGAUCCUACAGAUUCCAUAAUGAGAUACUCCGAUAGACUAUAUAGCUAUGAAUCGACAUUCUAUACUACCACACUCGUGCAAAGUUGCAUAUUCCAGGGAAAAUUGAGCUUGUUAGUUGUGCAUCAUAACAAAUCAUUGAAAGUCAUAAAGGACACCGUUCCCC